Molecule: ribosomal RNA, 451 nt
Filed under: uncultured Fibrobacter sp.
Lineage: Bacteria; Pseudomonadati; Fibrobacterota; Fibrobacteria; Fibrobacterales; Fibrobacteraceae
Description: partial 16S ribosomal RNA
Rfam family: Bacterial small subunit ribosomal RNA
Source: RNAcentral
ACGGGAGGCAGCAGUAGGGAAUAUUGCACAAUGGGGGAAACCCUGAUGCAGCAACGCCACGUGUGGGAAGAAGCAUUUCGGUGUGUAAACCACUGUCGUGAAGGAAUAAUGCCUGGUCUCGGCCAGGUUGAAUGUACUUUGAAAGGAAGCACCGGCAAACUUCGUGCCAGCAGCCGCGGUAAUACGAGGGGUGCAAGCGUUGUUCGGAAUCACUGGGCGUAAAGGGAGCGCAGGCGGAGAUGCAAGCGGUCUGUACAAUCCCGGGGCCUAACCCCGGACCUGCAGACCGGACUGUUUCUCUUGGAUAGCUCAGGGGCUGGCGGAAUUCCUGGUGUAGCGGUGGAAUGCGUAGAGAUCAGGAAGAACACCGAUGGCGAAGGCAGCCUGCUGGGGACUCAUCGACGCUGAGGCUCGAAAGUGCGGGUAGCAAACAGGAUUAGAUACCCUGGUA